RNAcentral lists this ribosomal RNA (265 nucleotides) under uncultured bacterium. RNAcentral's name for it is "partial 16S ribosomal RNA". It matches the Rfam family "Bacterial small subunit ribosomal RNA", at positions 88 to 354 of the family's 1533-position model. The record is from RNAcentral.
CCGGCGACCGGCGGACGGGUGCGUAACGCGUAUGUAACCUACCUUUGACAGGGGGAUAACAUCGAGAAAUUGGUACUAAUACCCCAUAACAUCACCGGAGGCAUCUUCGGUGGUUGAAAACUCAGGUGGUCAGAGAUGGACAUGCGUUGUAUUAGCUAGUUGGUGAGGUGACGGCUCACCAAGGCGACGAUACAUAGGGGGACUGAGAGGUCAACCCCCCACAUUGGUACUGAGACACGGACCAAACUCCUACGGAAGGCAGCAG